Molecule: ribosomal RNA, 536 nt
Filed under: Eimeria sp.
Lineage: Eukaryota; Apicomplexa; Conoidasida; Eucoccidiorida; Eimeriidae
Description: partial small subunit ribosomal RNA
Rfam family: Eukaryotic small subunit ribosomal RNA
Source: RNAcentral
UCUAUGGMUAAUACAUGCGCACUYGCCUCCYYCUCUGGAGGGGCUGUGUUUAUUAGAUACAAAACCAACCCACUUUGUGGAGUCCUGGUGAUUCAUAGUAACCGAACGGAUCGCAGUUGGCYUCGGCCCGCGAUGGAUCUUUCAAGUUUCUGACCUAUCAGCUUUCGACGGUAGGGUAUUGGCCUACCGUGGCAGUGACGGGUAACGGGGAAUUAGGGUUYGAUUCCGGAGAGGGAGCCUGAGAAACGGCUACCACAUCUAAGGAAGGCAGCAGGCGCGCAAAUUACCCAAUGAAAACAGUUUCGAGGUAGUGACGAGAAAUAACAAUACAGGGCAUUUUAUGCYCYGUAAUUGGAAUGAWGGGAAUGKAAAACCCUUCCMGARUAACAAUUGGAGGGCAAGUCUGGUGCCMGCAGCCSCGGUAAUUCCMGCUCCMAUAGUGUAUAUUAGARUUGUUGCAGUUAAAAAGCUCGUARUUGGAUUUCUGUCGUGGUCAUCCSGCUCCGCCCGUAUGGGUGUGCGCCUGGUUUGCCCUC